UCGUACAGACCCAGGUCUUCGGGCCGACCCCUGCCGUCUGCUCUGUUCAAGUUCUCCAACUGUAAAUAAUACAUCAGCCCUCUUCCUCGGUGCUCCUCUCCCUUUCCCCUGCCACGGUGGCUUCUGUUACAACCACAUGUCCCAAGUCUCCUGCAAGGUCUUUUGAUAAAGUGAGUGAUGAAAUAGUUUAGGCUGCGUGGUAAACUCGAAUGAGCUCUUACCAACCUCCUUACCUCCUCUGUCUGCCACACUGGUGUAUCGUUGUCAGAAGAAUAAGGCCAACUGGUUUUUCCUCUCAUCUUUGCAGGAACAUCAGCAGUGAGAGGAACCGACUAUGCCCAGGGGUGGAAAUAGGACAACUCCUUCCCAGGACACCUUCCAGGGGCCAUUGGCAGAUUCUGUCAUCAAGUCAUUCGUGGAUGUUGCAUACUGAACAGGGGGAGCCACGUGUCCGGUUUGCUUGAGAAGGUUUAAGCUGCAAAGACGUAAGAACAAGGAAGCUGCUUUAUGGAGUUUCUGCUGCAGAAGCCUGGGUUCGGCUGUUCCCCCAUCUUCCUUUACGGCGGCCCAGAAAAUGUUCAUGAUAAAGACGGUUGGCUGAGGGGGGAGUGGUUAAUCAUUCUGUUUCCCGAGGUUCAAUUUCUCCUUUCAGGCUUGCUGGGUAACUCUUUAUCAGGUACUUUUCAUUAAAAGUAUCACUCAUUUUCAUUAUAAUUCACUGAUGCUGGCAAAACAUUUUUACCUUUUCAUCCAAAAUUCCUGAGGCAGUUGAUACACUUGAUAAUCCGAGAACAACAAAUAAAGGCCUCUUUUCACCC
This 818-nucleotide long non-coding RNA is filed under the name Felis catus (domestic cat). RNAcentral describes it as "lncRNA (ENSFCAG00000050107.1)". The record is from RNAcentral. Lineage: Eukaryota; Metazoa; Chordata; Mammalia; Carnivora; Felidae.